GGAGCCUCCGGUCCUGCCCGGCUUCUCGGGGGGCCUGCAGUCCAGGGGGACCCUGGCCGAUGAGUCUGGGGAGGGCGAGCUCCAGCGACCACGGCUCCCCCACGUGGCUGGACCAGGAGCAGCCGGGCGACCGCCUGGCCUCCUGAUUCCCCGGCCCCAGGGGCCCUGUGCCCUCCCCCCCGCCUGGCUGGUUCAGUGCUCUGCGCCCCCUCAGGUGGCUCUGCCUGUGCCGAUCACAGGUGGGCACCUAACCUCGCUGUCUUCCCGAGUUUUCCAUUUGUCUCGUUAGAAUCAGAAAACUUAACUUUUGGGAUAAAAGGAAAACUAAAGUUAUAUUUAAAAAAACCCACACGACCGAAACUGGGGAGUCUUUGGGGAUAUGUCGGCACCUCCUCUUCGCCCCUCGGCGGGUGCGGUGUCCCUGGACGGGAGGGUCCUAGAGCACUCGGGGCAACUGUUCCAUCCUGAUGGCCUCUGGGUGUGCCCGGGGGGCUGGGCAGGCCCCGGAAGUCCUGCGUGCCCUGCCGGAGCGGCCACCCGCGUUUCCUGCUGGCUCGUAAGAACCCGCCAGCCCUGAGGCUCUGUGGCUGUAACCUGCUUUUCUGUCAGCCGGGCCCCGGGGAGCCGCAGCCUGCCCUACUUAAUAAGUCUGCGCCUGGGCCACCGGGAGCCAGCCCUGAAUGUCAGGAACCUCAGGGGAAGGUGAAGGACCUUUCAGAGCAGGAAAUGUGACCGGGCGGCUGAUCGAUGUCCUUACCUGGUCUUUGUCCGCGAGGCUCCGCUUGGGGCCAGCUCUGCAGAGCUGCCACUCUGCCGAGUGUAUGGCCUGGCUGGAGGACAUCCCUCCCUAGGGGCUUCCGCCCUUGGCCACCUCCAGUGACUGCGCCCCCGUGGGCCUGAGCCGACCUUGCCUCUGAAACAGGGAGAGUGCCCCCUUCGGACGUGGCGCCCGUGUUCCCUGGGGAGGGCCGAGGGGCCACCCCGGCCAUGUCCCCCCUGCUUGAGGUUGAAUUUUGUCUCUCAGACUGAGCGCUUCCCUGAUGGUGCAGCCGAACGGGCCCUCUGGACAGCGGACAACUGGAGGCCUUAGCGACAGCCUCCCUAAUUACCGAAAAUCCAGCUCAGCGUCACAUGGCCCCUGCCCUGCCCCCACCUCGGCCAGGGGCUACCCCCACCCUUCCCAAAGAGAAUUCUGGGAGCCUGGGAGCAGGUGGUCUUCCUCCGCAUCCCCCUCAGGUUCUGCGAGGUUUUGUCAUGUAGGUGGGGUGCUAGCCGAGGUGACACCACUGCCAACCAACAGGCUGGACACCACCCUCAGCCCAUCUCCACCAACGUCCAGUUGCCCGAGAUCCUGGGAUGUACUGACCAUUCGACUGGUGGGCAAGCAAGGGAGUGCAUCAAGUCCCUCGACGCAGGCUCUGUGGGUGUUUCCAGGAGGGUGGGUCCCGGCUCGGACCACCAGGGGCCCCUCUAGGUGGGGAGAUGCAAAUCGGCAUGCUGGGGUCUCUCAUGGGCAGCUGGCCUCCCAGCAGACCCGCCCGAGCGCGGGCUCUCUGCGGGAGUCUGGCACGGGACACGCACGAUUCUUGGCUGAGGGAGGACCCCCACAGCUGGUGGUCUCUGGCCCUCAUGGAAGUCCUGGGCUCAGCCUUGCUGGCAGCCAGGGCGUGUGUACAACCCAGACCUUGGCCAGCAGACUCUCCCUGGCUCUGGGUGUUGACUCCUGACCGAGUCACAAGGUGAAGGGACAGGUGGAGUCCUUGCGGCGUGGCUGCCCAGGCGUCCUGGCCAGGCUGUGCCUGCUAAAAGGUGAGCGAUGCUUUCCCUGCCUCUCGCCUCCCCAGGAGUCCCCGUUCCCGGCCACCCACGGAGAUCUCAUUACCCUUCCAGCCUUAUUCUGUGUGACAACAAGAGCGGUGGCUUUCUGUCACCAGACAGACUUGGCUCA
Long non-coding RNA from Pteropus alecto (black flying fox), 1948 nucleotides. RefSeq lists it as uncharacterized. The record is from RefSeq and is a predicted model, not a curated record. NCBI's taxonomy places the organism in Eukaryota, Metazoa, Chordata, Mammalia, Chiroptera, Pteropodidae. The transcript is spliced from 2 exons.